GUCUGCAAGGUCGCCCUGCUCCACUGAAGAAGAGGCGGGAGACCUGCAGGGAGGGAGGGACGGCUGCCCCUUGCCGAGAGGGAAUACCGGUUUAUGAAGCCAUCACUCGACAGCGGUCGUGAUAAACUGAACUCAUGCGUCCUCCACACAUGUGAGAAGCUUUAGGUCAGGCUCAUUAAGGAACGGCAGAGCUGGCGCCCUAAAACUGCAGACAGAUUGAGAAAGAAGAUUCCACUCCUAGGAUAUAUUCUAAAGACCUGGAAACACAUCUACACAAGAGCUUGUCCACGGAUGUCCACAGCCACGCUAUUUGUCUGCCAAAAAACAGCAACUCGAACGUCGAAGCCACAGCAUGAGGGAGACAUGACGGGCUGCCUAGACUGUUGAGCGGGAGGACCUCAGACCUCUCAGCUGCUUGGGGAGAAGUCACCUCCCAGUGUGAACGGCUGAGCAGGAGCCCCGUUCUCCGCCUCCUCAGCCAGCACUACACACACGUGUGUCCAGCAGGUAUUUAUUAAACCCCUACUGGAUGCCGGGCAAUAUUCUGAGGACACAGCAGUAGCAGGAGAGUCCCUGCUCUAAAAGAUUAUAAAAAAUACACAGGUGAAAGCAAGAGGGCCAGCCCACGGCGUGGUGGUUAAGGCGGCUGGGUCCCACAUGGCCAGCGACACGGUUUGAGUCCCAGACUCUGGCUUGAGAAAUACGCCCAGCACAUGUACGUGCAAAAACCCCGAGAGGAAGGUGAGAAGAUGUGGGAUAAGAAGGGUCCGACACGGUCCUGCCUCUGCAGGAGAGCAAUGAAGGAAAGCCGCAGGGGCUCACAAGUCAGGAACAGGGCCUGAUGCGUGUGUUCUCUUCGCGCUUUUCUAGCUGGAGUGAAAGAGGCAGAGAGGCACCCCCACAGGGCCUUUCACACCUCGACCCACCCCGCGUCUCAGCCAGCCUGGAUCAUGACCACACAUGUGCAUGCUCGGGAGGUCCCGGGACGCAAACCCAGGACCUUUCCCAUGUGGGCCCCAUGUGCUGCCACGACACCACCACCAGCUCCUGGCUUGUAUUGUUGAUAGGUCACUCCAGCUGCUGGGUAGAAGAUCAACAGGUAGUGGGUGACAAGAAAGCCCCGGCCGCAACAGCCUUCUGUCCACUGGGGACCUGGCUCCGUCUGCCCCCACCUUCUUCCAGUGUCCAGAGGGGGCCAGGGGGACCCAGGGUCACUGCAGUGACGUCAGCGCCUUUACUGUGUUUACUUGACAUUUUUUCAUUGAAAUCAACUGCUCGUACUAUUAUUUGAAUAAAUGUUUUAGAGAAAUUAUAUAACACCCAAAGGUAGGAGGUUUAAUGCACAAGUAAUUUUUUCCUAAUUCACCUUAACAUAAA
Molecule: long non-coding RNA, 1377 nt
Organism: Tupaia belangeri chinensis (Chinese tree shrew)
Lineage: Eukaryota; Metazoa; Chordata; Mammalia; Scandentia; Tupaiidae
Exons: 3
Source: RefSeq, a predicted model, not a curated record